Molecule: ribosomal RNA, 253 nt
Filed under: uncultured bacterium
Lineage: Bacteria
Description: partial 16S ribosomal RNA
Rfam family: Bacterial small subunit ribosomal RNA
Source: RNAcentral
GACAGAGGGUGCAAACGUUGUUCGGAUUUACUGGGCGUAAAGCGCGUGUAGGCGGCUUUGCAAGUCGGAUGUGAAAGCCCACGGCUCAACCGUGGAAGUGCAUCCGAAACUGCAUGGCUCGAGUCUCGGAGAGGAAGGUGGAAUGCUUGGUGUAGAGGUGAAAUGCGUAGAUAUCGGGAGGAACAUCAGUGGCGAAGGCGGCUAUCUGGUCUAACACUGACACUGAGACACGAAAGCGUGGGGAGCAAACAGG